UGUCACCCGCUCCUUGCCCAG
This 21-nucleotide microRNA is filed under the name Homo sapiens (human). RNAcentral describes it as "hsa-miR-6879-3p". The record is from miRBase by way of RNAcentral. Lineage: Eukaryota; Metazoa; Chordata; Mammalia; Primates; Hominidae.